Molecule: ribosomal RNA, 301 nt
Filed under: uncultured bacterium
Lineage: Bacteria
Description: partial 16S ribosomal RNA
Rfam family: Bacterial small subunit ribosomal RNA
Source: RNAcentral
CAGUAGCCGCGGUAAUACGUAGGGUGCAAGCGUUAAUCGGAAUUACUGGGCGUAAAGCGUGCGCAGGCGGUUAUAUAAGACAGAUGUGAAAUCCCCGGGCUCAACCUGGGAACUGCAUUUGUGACUGUAUAGCUAGAGUACGGCAGAGGGGGAUGGAAUUCCGCAUGUAGCAGUGAAAUGCGUAGAUAUGCGGAGGAACACCGAUGGCGAAGGCAAUCCCCUGGGCCUGUACUGACGCUCAUGCACGAAAGCGUGGGGAGCAAACAGGAUUAGAUACCCGAGUAGUCCCUGUCUCUUAUAC